Molecule: ribosomal RNA, 464 nt
Filed under: uncultured bacterium
Lineage: Bacteria
Description: partial 16S ribosomal RNA
Rfam family: Bacterial small subunit ribosomal RNA
Source: RNAcentral
CUACGGGGGGCUCCAGUGGGGAAUAUUGCACAAUGGGCGCAAGCCUGAUGCAGCCAUGCCGCGUGUAUGAAGAAGGCCUUCGGGUUGUAAAGUACUUUCAGCGGGGAGGAAGGGAGUAAAGUUAAUACCUUUGCUCAUUGACGUUACCCGCAGAAGAAGCACCGGCUAACUCCGUUCCAGCAGCCGCGGUAAUACGGAGGGUGCAAGCGUUAAUCGGAAUUACUGGGCGUAAAGCGCACGCAGGCGAUUUGUUAAGUCAGAUGUGAAAUCCCCGGGCUCAACCUGGGAACUGCAUCUGAUACUGGCAAGCUUGAGUCUCGUAGAGGGGGGUAGAAUUCCAGGUGUAGCGGUGAAAUGCGUAGAGAUCUGGAGGAAUACCGGUGGCGAAGGCGGCCCCCUGGACGAAGACUGACGCUCAGGUGCGAAAGCGUGGGGAGCAAACAGGAUUAGAUACCCCAGUAGUC